RNAcentral lists this ribosomal RNA (439 nucleotides) under uncultured bacterium. RNAcentral's name for it is "bacterial SSU rRNA". It matches the Rfam family "Bacterial small subunit ribosomal RNA", at positions 958 to 1397 of the family's 1533-position model. The record is from RNAcentral.
AACGCGAAGAACCUUACCCAGACUUGACAUGCAGAGGACGUAUGCAGAAAUGUAUACUCCCUUCGGGGCCUCUGCACAGGUGCUGCAUGGCUGUCGUCAGCUCGUGCCGUGAGGUGUUGGGUUAAGUCCCGCAACGAGCGCAACCCUUAUCAUUAGUUGCCAUCACUUCGGGUGGGCACUCUAAUGAGACUGCCUGGGUUAACCAGGAGGAAGGUGAGGAUGACGUCAAGUCCGCAUGGCCCUUACGUCUGGGGCUACACACGUACUACAAUGGUCGGUACAGAAGGCAGCUAAGCCGCGAGGUAGAGCAAAUCCUAGAAAACCGAUCCCAGUUCAGAUUGUAGUCUGCAACUCGACUACAUGAAGUUGGAAUUGCUAGUAAUGGCGAGUCAGCAACAUCGCCGUGAAUACGUUCCCGGGCCUUGUACACACCGGCUAC